UACGUAGGGAGCAAGCGUUGUCCGGAUUUACUGGGCGUAAAGGGCGCGUAGGCGGUCGUGACAAGUCACUUGUGAAAUCUCCGGGCUUAACUCGGAACGGUCAAGUGAUACUGUCGGACUAGAGUACAGAAGGGGCAACUGGAAUUCUCGGUGUAGCGGUGAAAUGCGUAGAUAUCGAGAGGAACACCUGCGGCGAAGGCGGGUUGCUGGGCUGAUACUGACGCUGAGGAGCGAAAGCUAGGGGAGCAAACGGG
Molecule: ribosomal RNA, 254 nt
Filed under: uncultured bacterium
Lineage: Bacteria
Description: partial 16S ribosomal RNA
Rfam family: Bacterial small subunit ribosomal RNA
Source: RNAcentral